This 85-nucleotide ribosomal RNA is filed under the name Citrobacter freundii. Its description in RNAcentral is "partial 23S ribosomal RNA". It matches the Rfam family "Bacterial large subunit ribosomal RNA", at positions 2841 to 2925 of the family's 2925-position model. RNAcentral also lists the same sequence under 3 other names. Lineage: Bacteria; Pseudomonadati; Pseudomonadota; Gammaproteobacteria; Enterobacterales; Enterobacteriaceae. The record is from RNAcentral.
AAGACGACGACGUUGAUAGGUCGGGUGUGUAAGUGUAGCGAUACAUUGAGCUAACCGAUACUAAUGAACCGUGAGGCUUAACCUU